Molecule: long non-coding RNA, 1001 nt
Filed under: Actinidia chinensis (golden kiwifruit)
Lineage: Eukaryota; Viridiplantae; Streptophyta; Magnoliopsida; Ericales; Actinidiaceae
Description: long non-coding RNA (ACHI_LNC007360)
Source: RNAcentral
UAAGUCCCAAUUCUCAUGCUCUAUUACCUGAAAAGUGAACAGAAAAUUUAAAGAAAUACUAUAUGAAACAUAAAACUACGCAGCAAUAUACAUCACAAGAAUGUAAAAGCUAAUAUGUGAAUGAUUCUAUUGAAUAAAUGGUUUUAACUUUUACAUGCCAAAUCUCACGUAAAUCCAAGCAAUGUGCUGAUUUUAGUAUCUAAAAUCCCAAAAUGGCCAUUUCUUCAAGGACAACCUUACUUUGGUUACAAUAACUCAGGCAACUUUCAACUUCAACCUUAGUAUUGUAAAUCUAAAAUUCAAAAUUUUGAAAACCCCUAACUUUUUUAUAAUUUGGGGAUUUUUGAUCUCAACUCCUCAAUUCCGUAAAAUUGAGCUUUAAGCUCCAAAAAUGAAAGAUAGUUAAAUCCAAUAAAGAUAAUGAAGAAGAAUUGAAACAUGGACCUUCAUAAUCGAAAUCCGAAACAACAAUAGUUAAUCCCAUAGUCAAUACCUUUGGGGCUGAGGUGAAAAAUUAAGCACAAACAUUUAUGUGGGAGCCUGCCCUGGCGCGAGAAAUCUGACCAGCUUGCAAAAAUGAAGGCAUCUGUAAUGUGGUCCAUGACGUCUUUGUUGUAAAGGCCAACUAGUAAACAAACAAAACAAACUAUCAGUGUAAGUGAGAGAGAGACCCCAAAAGACGGGAAAAAGAUCUUUUAAUUACAGGGAACCUGUGAUUAAUAGCCCAGAAAUUCAAGGAAAAUAAGGGGGAAAACUUGAAUCUGACCCCAAUAACGAGGAAAGAAUCAGAUGCAGAACAUGUUAAAUAAAGACAAUAAAGAUUUACUCAGUCCUAGAUCUCUCUCCUUUCCUCCAUCCUCGUUCUCAGAUCUCCCUAACCCGGCUUCACCACCUACUUCUUCUACUGAUAUAGCUUUUCAUGAAAUCAUAUAGUGGAGCUUUGACCGUCUUACAUCAAUGGUUGGAUUGCCUUUAGUCGUAUCAGGAGAUGGAGAUGGAGA